GACGAACGCUGGCGGCGUGCUUAACACAUGCAAGUCGAACGGAAAGGCUCCAGCUUGCUGGAGUACUCGAGUGGCGAACGGGUGAGUAACACGUGGGUGAUCUGCCCUGCACUUCGGGAUAAGCCUGGGAAACUGGGUCUAAUACCGGAUAGGACCGCACUUUGGUGUGUGUGGUGGAAAGGUUUUUCUGGUGUGGGAUGAGCUCGCGGCCUAUCAGUUUGUUGGUGGGGUAAUGGCCUACCAAGACGGCGACGGGUAGCCGGCCUGAGAGGGUGGACGGUCACAUUGGGACUGAGAUACGGCCCAGACUCCUACGGGAGGCAGCAGUGGGGAAUAUUGCACAAUGGGGGAAACCCUGAUGCAGCGACGCCGCGUGGGGGAGGAAGGCCUUCGGGUUGUAAACUCCUUUCGCUAGGGACGAAGCUUUUUGUGACGGUACCUGGAGAAGAAGCACCGGCUAACUACGUG
RNAcentral lists this ribosomal RNA (468 nucleotides) under uncultured bacterium. Its description in RNAcentral is "partial 16S ribosomal RNA". It matches the Rfam family "Bacterial small subunit ribosomal RNA", at positions 28 to 507 of the family's 1533-position model. The record is from RNAcentral.